RNAcentral lists this ribosomal RNA (424 nucleotides) under uncultured bacterium. RNAcentral's name for it is "bacterial SSU rRNA". It matches the Rfam family "Bacterial small subunit ribosomal RNA", at positions 506 to 930 of the family's 1533-position model. The record is from RNAcentral.
UGCCAGCAGCCGCGGUAAUACGUAGGUGGCAAGCGUUGUCCGGAAUCACUGGGCGUAAAGCGCGCGCAGGCGGCGAUCUACGUCUGGGGUGAAAGCCCGGAGCUCAACUCCGGGACUGCCUUGGAUACGGGAUCGCUUGAGGAUUGGAGAGGCAAGGGGAAUUCCACGUGUAGCGGUGAAAUGCGUAGAUAUGUGGAGGAACACCUGUGGCGAAGGCGCCUUGCUGGCCAAUUUCUGACGCUGAGGCGCGAAAGCGUGGGGAGCAAACAGGAUUAGAUACCCUGGUAGUCCACGCCGUAAACGAUGAGUGCUAGGUGUUGGGGGGUACCACCCUCAGUGCCGAAGCUAACGCAUUAAGCACUCCGCCUGGGGAGUACGGUCGCAAGACUGAAACUCAAAGGAAUUGACGGGGGCCCGCACAAGU